AGAACAGAAGUAGGGAAGCUUCCACUGGACAAAUCCCUCUGAUCAGCAGGAGGCCAGGAAAGCUAAUGACUUAAAAUCCUCCUCAUUCACUCCUUCCUUCACACUCUUUCUCCAGUGAAAGAACUCUCCUGGGGAAAGUUAGGUCUGGAAUACCUCGGGACAAAGAUGCUCAUAAGAUUUCCAGAACAAAAAUCAAAUACAAUGGGCAAUCUUUAGAAUAACCCGGCUUAGUAAACUGG
Molecule: long non-coding RNA, 239 nt
Filed under: Phascolarctos cinereus (koala)
Lineage: Eukaryota; Metazoa; Chordata; Mammalia; Diprotodontia; Phascolarctidae
Description: lncRNA (ENSPCIG00000034596.1)
Source: RNAcentral